UACGGAUGAGGCAAGCGUUAUCCGGAAUUAUUGGGCGUAAAGCGUCCGCAGGUGGCACUUCAAGUCUGUCGUCAAAGACUGGGGCUUAACCCUGGAAAGGCGGUGGAAACUGAAGCGCUAGAGUGCGGUAGGGGUAGAGGGAAUUCCCGGUGUAGCGGUGAAAUGCGUAGAUAUUGGGAGGAACACCAGUGGCGAAGGCGGCUCGCUGGACCGGUUCUGACGCUGAUGCGCGAAAGCGUGGGGAGCAAACGGG
This 253-nucleotide ribosomal RNA is filed under the name uncultured bacterium. RNAcentral describes it as "partial 16S ribosomal RNA". It matches the Rfam family "Bacterial small subunit ribosomal RNA", at positions 524 to 776 of the family's 1533-position model. The record is from RNAcentral.